Non-coding RNA from Pelobates cultripes (western spadefoot toad), 5726 nucleotides. NCBI's taxonomy places the organism in Eukaryota, Metazoa, Chordata, Amphibia, Anura, Pelobatidae. The record is from the annotation of a GenBank genome assembly.
CAGGAAGUGAAUGCUACGGAGAAGGCGGAAGUGUCUGUGAAGUUUAAUCCUUUGGUUUCGAUUAGUUCGCAGUCACGUAAACGCGGUGACGUCACCCGGCUUGUCCCCUGGUGGGAAGUAGUCUGUCCUGAGAGUUGCUUUAGGGGACAUCAUUGCCAUUAUGUUGCAGUUUAUAGUAAGUAUGGUUUAUCCUGUGUGUGGCCUCCAUAGCACCAGAGAGCAGCUCGCCCUGUGUGUUAGGAUAGAGUCACUCCUGAUACAGGACAUUAUUAUUAUCUUCUUGUCCUAUCUUGUUAGUGGAUGGUGCUGGCAGUAAGUUAUCUGUCUCUAUAAUUACCAGACACAACAAGUAAUACCAUGUUUAAUACAGGAGGGGCAACACCUCGCUCAGUACGACAUUUAUAAUAACACACAAACCUCCUUCCCAGGGUCAUUUUCUAAAUCAAAUAAUAGAAUUCCAAGGACAAAAUGUGGGACAGCAUUGCUAAUCAGGAAUAAUUCACCAAGUCCUGCUGUUAAGUAAUUCAUUUUAUUCAUAACAAUUCACUGUUUGUAUCCCUUGGUAUUAUGAUGUAAUCUAAUUAUGUUCUAAUACCUGCAAUGCAUCUUCAUCUGGCCAUGAUAAAAAAAACUAAAUGUAUGUACGCAGUGAUGUGCUUUUUUUUCAGUCCAUGCCAAUGUGCUUGGUUGUGUCUACAUGACUGUGUUUUUCUAUUCGUGGGUUUUUUUUUGUUUUUUUUUCUGUGUUCCUAAAUGUUUGUAUAAAUUUUUUUUGUUUUUACUGACUGGCUUCCCACACACACAGAUGUAUUAAUGAUCAAAUAUACAAUUUGUAUCCAUGCAGGCCGUAUAAAAUCGUAUGAAUCAUCUGGCAACAUAUAGAAUGUAUUUUUUUUUUUUAUUUUUUUUAACACAGGUUUUAUAUAUGUGUAUCUGUUUUUAAAUAUAUUUACUUGAAAUCCAAACUAAACACCAAAAGUUAAAAUAGUGGCUGCUGUAUUCUAUGAAUAUAUGUAAGCCCUGGCAUAAAAACACGUAAACUUACACGUAUAAUUGCAUACCUACACAUAGCUCUACACACAGACACAUAUAUAUUUGUACACGGACAAAGAAUGCUACCCAUUUACACACAGGUGGCAUUUUUUUAAAUUUAUAUUUGCAAAGAGAAAAGCAGUCCCAUAUGUAAUGCAUAUUUGUUGACAUACAGAACUGCACAACAUUUUAUCAAAAUAUAUGUAAAGCUUUUCAUUUAGGGAUUUAUUCCAUAAAUGCAAAAUUGUAGUGAACGGAAAACCAAAUUGCUGAAAUUCUCACUAAAAGCUGAAGUUAAAGAUUUGGAAAAAGUCUGCAAUUCAGCUGAAUUUACUGAUUGACUAUUUUUUUGGAAAUUAAUACCAUACAUUCUGGAGUCAUUUAUAAUCUACUCAACUGCUGUAAUUCUAAAAUAACUAGCACUUGACCAUUAAGACAAAAUGUUUGAGACACAUAUAGACAAGUCAAAAGUCAGAAACCACCCAGAUAUGUAUGUUACAGGCAAUAAUCUUACAGCUAUCAUGGUGGGUGUAGAAGUUCAUUUCACAACAUAUAUUUUUAAUAACUUUUUUUUUUUUCUUCUUCUUCUAGUUGGGAUUUGCCUUUGGGAAUGUGGUCGGCAUGUAUUUGGCCCAAAAUUAUGAGGUAAAGUCUCUUCCCAUUUGCCUUUUUACACACAAAGAUAGAGAACAGGCACAUACCAGCUAUAUAUUUCACUAUACAGGUGGUCCUCAUUUAACAACCUACUUGUUUUACGACGGCUCUCACUUACGACCACACUUAAGUGCGAGCCGUCGUGGGGAUUCCCUGCUCUAGUACAUAUGUCUAUAUUUGGGGAAACUUCCCCGAACAUAGACGAACGCACCAGAGCAUAGAAUCUCUUAACUCCUCACCGACCAAUUUGUUCUAUGACCUGGUCGUAGGAACGGAACCCGAUCGGUAAGUGAGGUGUCGGUACUGCUCAUUUGUAGGCACAAGGGUUUGGAUUUUUACAACAUUUGUAAUAUUCCAACAUUUGGAAAGAGUUUGUUUUUGUCUAUUGAUAGGACUAGCAAAAUUUCAGAUCUUUGUGGUCCAAAAUUAAGAUGAACCCCUUGGAGGGGCUUGGACUUAUUAAUGGCACUUUGAAAGUACACAAUCUAGCUUUAAAGGGACGCUCUAAGUACCCAAACAACCUUUGCUUCCUCACACUUGCUAGAAAAGAAUUGUCUUUAUCUAAUGCUCUGUUAAUGACCUACUAAGUUGUGUUGGGAUAAAGUUCAAUUAGCAGAGCAUUAGACUUCUAAAGAAAACAGGAUCUGAUUGAAAAUAAACUAUUUUGUUUCAUGGAGACUGUGUGAGUUACAACAAGGAGAGGUGUUAGGGUUUUAUAAAUCGAAACAAAGUGGAAUUCUAAUAUGGCAGAUAAUUAAGAUGUGAGACUGCAGGGGCAUGAUCUUUACCAGGGCUGCCAAAAAGGUAGAUCCUUUGAUGUUGUAGAACUACGACUCCCAUGAUGCAUUGCAUGCCUUUGGAAUGUCAAAGCAUCAUGAAAGCUGUAGUUUUAAAACAUGUAGGUGUACCUUUUGGGCAAUCAUGGUCUAAUAGAAUUGCUUAAUUUAACUAAAGUUUUAUUUUUGCCUAGUGUGUAUGUUCUUCUAUAAAGAUGUGGCACAUUUUCCUCUGAUCAGUUUUUUUGAAAGAUACAUGAAGAACGAAACCCAGUAUUUCUAGGUCCAGUUAUGGUUUGAAGCUUACUAUAGUCUUAAAAGGGGCUCAGUCACACAAACAAAUUUUAAAAUAUGAGAUUUUCAAAAAGAAUCUUUAGAAAAUGCUUAUAUUGACUGCAUUUCCCUGUCAUUAAAAUUCCAACACAAUCAAAAGAUAUCAUAGGACAAAGUAAUCUUGUGGCAGAGACUCAAGUUGACAAAAUUGGGAAAAACAGAGCUUGCGCCAUCAAUUUUUUCGUAGUUACCACAGCUCAUCAAAAGACUUAGUCUAUAGAGACUCCUACAGUCUUCCAAAGACAUCAAGAUUAUACUUUCAUGCAUAGGUGAGUGUACUGGACUAACAUGGUCUCCUGGCGUAUGAUGCUCUAGAAAUUGAAGAAAGAAGAUGGCUGGAGACAGGGUCAGGUGCAGAUUUUAAUAGGAAAGACUUUUUUAAAGCAAUAGUUUAGAAACAAAAAAAAAAAAAAAACACACACUGGUCUCUUGCACUCGCAAACGAUAUUAUAGGAAACCAAAAUGUUUUCCAUUUGUCCUUGUGGCAGUCUUUUACCCCUAUUCUGUUCUAUUUCGACGUAUAUCAUUUUGUCACAUUAGCUUGCAAUUUUAUAGUAAUGAGGGAGUCUCUCGUUGUAGAUUUGGUGGCCAAAUGUUAUAUUGAUAUAUAUUUUGUAAAGCCUAUCGUUGGGAGGUAUAAAUAUGUUAACCCAUAGACCCUGACUUUUUAUUUUGCUUAAAUACAUAUGUAUGUAUAUUAACUUGCUGUGUUUUAUGAUAUAUUUUAUUUGUUUGCUUAGGUUCCAGAUAUAUCCAAAAAAAUUGAGAACAUUAAAAAGGAUUUGGAAGCUAAGAAAAAGCCACCAAGUGAUUGACCUUAGUACAUAAUCUUGAUCGGUCUAAUUCAUGGAUUCCACGGUUUAUGGAAAAGCUAGGGGUGGUAAAUGAAUGCAUCUGGACAUCUGAGGUUUCCCUUGUACUGCUGCAUUAGACACUACUUUGCAGGGUGAAAUGUAUGGAAUUGUCUUACCAGUAUUCUCAUCUAAAGUUGUAUAUGAUCCAAUGAGGCCUUUGGUUAUGUAACUCAAUACAUAGAAUUUCAGAUUUGAUGGCUUGCAGUAUAUCAAGAGUGCUUGCAACAGUAGUAUGUGGUCUCUUGACAAUCAUUUUUAUAGUGGCUUAUAGCUUUAAUAGGAGUAAAUAAAAUCGAUAUUUGAGUAUAUGAGAAUGUGUUGUUUUUUUUGAGUUUCUGUUCUCCUGCUAAAAGUGCCAUCAGACAGUACCAGUAGUCUUGGCAGCAGAAAAGUUCAAUGUUUGUGGCUUUUUUUUUUUCUUUCUUUUUUUUUUUUUUUUAAUUUAGUGGCACCCUAACACCUUUUCACUGUGAUGAUUCAGAGGGUUGUCUAAACAUGUUAUCUUGAGUUUUCAGCCAAUAAAUCUGCUCCAAAACCAGAUCACAAUUGAUCAGUAAUGCAGAAGUAGAGAUUUCUACUAUAGUGAUGUCUGUAAAUAGAACUAAUGCGAUUCAAAAAUUAUUUAACACUGAGAUGGUGCCAGCCCCAAAUGCCUCUCCAAGAAUCUACUUUUAGAAGUAUAAAAAAAAUCUUAAAAAGUAUAAAAUUUUAACAAUGUAUACAGAUAAAUUGCGAUGAGAUUAAAAUGCAUUAUCGUGUAUAUUAUAGUGUCUAUGUAUCCACCAAAAAGCACACACUUGACUGGAAAUAUGCUUCAAAUAAUUUGUUGGGCUUUAUUUCUCCCCCCGCCCCUUCCCUUUCUUGCAAACCCUGUUAUACUAUUUGCUUGCUACAUAUAGACUGUUAGUCCUUUUUGAUUUGAAUGUAUUGUUUCAUUACUUUUAUUGAAAGGUUCAACAAAUCCCAUGUUGCCAUGGCGACUAGGAGUUUUGUCCUAACACCCGGGUGUUUGUCAGCCCCUCGAAACAGCCGGUUUAGGGAGAAUGGAGGCAGGUGGCAAGGGAGCUGUGAUCUUCUUUUUCUGUUCUCACACACCCUGCUGUGAUGUGGGUAGCCGGAAUAUGACAUCACACCAGCCCUGGCAUCCCUAAACGAUGUGUGACUGAGCAGAACAAGAACAGUUUGAUGAUUACUUCAACCACAUUGGACCUCAGAGAAGGAUCCUCCCAGCUCUCCCAAAAGUAGGGACGCUGGGUGAACAUAAAUUAGAAUAAAACUGUGACGCAGUGCCCUUCGCCACUUGUGCCUGAAGUGGACUACUUGCCAGCCUCUUGCCAUGUGACUAUGGCCCCUGGGAGACUUUGCCCUGUGUAAGCAUUAUGUGGGCUUAUUUGAGUUAUUUUUAAACACUUUUUCUGCCCCUUUGAAUACAUGAGAAGGUGUGCCCCUCCCCGUUUCCUGUCUUUUGUUCUCCAGCAGGGCGUUGUCACAGGGACACUGCCAGACCAGUUGGAACUUGUUGUUAAACUUUAACCCCAUGGCGAUUUGACUGUGUUUGUGGGAUCUGAGCGCUGUUCGGAUAUAGUGAACGCUCAGAUCCAAGUUAUCUGGGGAUAGGUUGAAUGUGGGGGUUCUGUUCAGUAUGAUAGGAAUUAUGUAUUUUUAUGUGUUUUUACUGUUGUAAAUGGAGAUAUUUUCUGUAUCCUGGAGAUAAUUAGCUUACCACACCCAAGCCAUGCUUGCAGUUGGUCAAAAAGGGAUUUCCAACUAACUUUUGAACCACUGGACCAAUUUGUAUGAUUUUGACAUAUGUUUGUAUUUUGAGUAUGCUGAUUCUGAAAAAAAUGUAAGUUGUAAGAAUGUGAUGUAUACUUUUAAAGUUAUGAAUAUUGUGUAUUUUUCUGACUGUGAUAAUUACGUCAGCCAUUGUGUUCAGUAAUUAUAUAACAGGCAGAGGGGAGGAUUUUGUGUGUAAUUGCUGGGAGUGUCUGAGUGUAUUGUACGUAUUGAUUGGUUGUUCUGUAAAAUGUGUAUAUAAGGCCAAUAAAGACACAGCUCAGUCUGUUCCUGCUUGACC